UACGGGGGGGGCAAGCGUUGUUCGGAAUUACUGGGCGUAAAGGGCUCGUAGGUGGCCAACUAAGUCAUACGUGAAAUCCCUCGGCUUAACCGGGGAACUGCGUCUGAUACUGGAUGGCUUGAGGUUGGGAGAGGGAUGCGGAAUUCCAGGUGUAGCGGUGAAAUGCGUAGAUAUCUGGAGGAACACCGGUGGCGAAGGCGGCUCACUGGCCCGGUACUGACGCUGAGGUGCGAAAGCGUGGGGAGCAAACAGG
Molecule: ribosomal RNA, 253 nt
Filed under: uncultured bacterium
Lineage: Bacteria
Description: partial 16S ribosomal RNA
Rfam family: Bacterial small subunit ribosomal RNA
Source: RNAcentral